CCUACGGGUGACUGCAGUGGGGAAUAUUGCACAAUGGGGGAAACCCUUAUGCAGCGACGCCGCGUGAGUGAAGAAGUAAUUCGUUACGUAAAGCUCUAUCAGCAGGGAAGAAAAUGACGGUACCUUAGUAAGAAGCCCCGGCUAACUACGUGCCAGCAGCCGCGGUAAUACGUAGGAUCCGAGCAUUAUCCGGAGUGACUGGGUGUAAAGAGUUGCGUAGGUGGCAUAGUAAGUAGCUCGUGAAAUCUGGUGGCUCAACCAUUCAGACUAUUAGCUAAACUGCUAAGCUCGAGACCGUUAGGGGUAACUGGAAUUUCUAGUGUAGGAGUGAAAUCCGUAGAUAUUAGAAGGAACACCGAUAGCGUAGGCAGGUUACUGGGACGGUUCUGACACUAAGGCACGAAAGCGUAGGGAGCAAACGGGAUUAGAUACCCGGGUAGUC
Molecule: ribosomal RNA, 442 nt
Filed under: uncultured bacterium
Lineage: Bacteria
Description: partial 16S ribosomal RNA
Rfam family: Bacterial small subunit ribosomal RNA
Source: RNAcentral